CACCUGCAUUCAAAAAUGAUCACGGGCUGCCUGUGCUCUGGUCAUCAAUAACGCAGGGAGAGGAAUUGCUGAAAGCCGUUUCCCGUGUUUGGAGGGUUCACACCUGUCCCUUUCAAAUGCUGGCGCUUUCACACACUCCUUCUCUCCUGCCAGCACCUUCUGGUCUCAGGAGCAUUGCAGGAUGUUGUGGAUGCUGCCUUGGGUCUGGAAACUGUUAGAGGAAACCCCAAGAGGUGCAGGCACUGAGCCUCUCAGGACAAUGACCUGGGGUCCCAGCUCCCCUGGAGGGGCCUCCUCAUGAUUGUUUGGGGGUUGAUCACAGACCAAGAGUGACGAGUGAUGUCACCCUGUGACUCAUGGCUGGACCUUCUUGCCCCUAUUGUCUCAGCACAACAUUAUUCGACUUUUCCCUCAGCGUGGGUGGGCAGAGGAAAAGCCCUGUGGCUCUGGGGACUUGGGAUCCAGAGUUGAAGACCCUUCAGCUGGCUCUGCCCUGCCAGUGCCACAGAGUGCCAUGGCCCAGGAAGACAGGUUUUCUUCCAUCUAGGCCAGGCCAUCCAGUGGCCAUCCUCCGUGUCCUCCCGCCUCCUCCUGGUGUGACUUCUGAAAACCAAGAAUUUGUUCCUGUUGACUUUUUCUGUGCUAUGGACCAUUGUCCUCUCACCCACUCAAUAAAUCUUGAAACAUGCCCUGCUGCUUGUUCUUUCA
This 708-nucleotide long non-coding RNA is filed under the name Homo sapiens (human). Its description in RNAcentral is "small nucleolar RNA host gene 11". The stretch from base 2 to 135 matches the Rfam family "Small nucleolar RNA SNORA71". Lineage: Eukaryota; Metazoa; Chordata; Mammalia; Primates; Hominidae. The record is from RNAcentral.